RNAcentral lists this ribosomal RNA (547 nucleotides) under uncultured Thermoplasmatales archaeon. RNAcentral describes it as "bacterial SSU rRNA". It matches the Rfam family "Archaeal small subunit ribosomal RNA", at positions 339 to 888 of the family's 1478-position model. The record is from RNAcentral. Lineage: Archaea; Methanobacteriati; Thermoplasmatota; Thermoplasmata; Thermoplasmatales.
UCGCGAAAACUUGUCAAUGGGGGAAACCCCGAACAGGGGAGUCCAAGUGCAUGCGUUUUACGUAUGCUGUUCAGUUGUCUAAAACACAGCCGAAGUAAGGGCUGGGUAAGACAGGUGCCAGCCGCCGCGGUAAUACCUGCAGCCCAAGUGGUAAUCGUUAUUAUUGAGCCUAAAGCGUCCGUAGCCGGUUUGGUAAACCCUCGGGUAAAUCGAGCAGCUCAACUGUUCGAAUUCCGGGGGGACUGCCAGACUUGGGACCGGGAGAGGUCGGAGGUACUUCAGGGGUAGGGGCUAAAUCCUGUAAUCCUUGAAGGACCACCAGUGGCGAAGGCGUCCGACCAGAACGGAUCCGACGGUAAGGGACGAAACCCUGGGGCGCAAACCGGAUUAGAUACCCGGGUAGUCCAGGGCGUAAACGCUGCAGGCUUGGUGUUGGGGAUCCUACGAGGAUGCUCAGUGCCGGAGUGAAGAUGUUAAGCCUGCCGCUUGGGGAGUACGUCCGCAAGGAUGAAACUUAAAGGAAUUGGCGGGAGAGCACAGCAACGGG